AUCGGGCUGAUAAGCUUUUUACAACUCGUCAGGGCUCAUAAGCUGAAGGUCAUAGGUUCAAAUCCUAUCCCCGCAACCA
This 79-nucleotide transfer RNA is filed under the name Bradyrhizobium sp. Leo170. Its description in RNAcentral is "tRNA-OTHER". Lineage: Bacteria; Pseudomonadati; Pseudomonadota; Alphaproteobacteria; Hyphomicrobiales; Nitrobacteraceae. The record is from RNAcentral.